This 183-nucleotide small nuclear RNA is filed under the name Crocodylus porosus (Australian saltwater crocodile). RNAcentral's name for it is "U1 spliceosomal RNA (ENSCPRG00005006377.1)". It matches the Rfam family "U1 spliceosomal RNA". Rfam says of the family: U1 is a small nuclear RNA (snRNA) component of the spliceosome (involved in pre-mRNA splicing). Its 5' end forms complementary base pairs with the 5' splice junction, thus defining the 5' donor site of an intron. There are significant differences in sequence and secondary structure between metazoan and yeast U1 snRNAs, the latter being much longer (568 nucleotides as compared to 164 nucleotides in human). The record is from RNAcentral. Lineage: Eukaryota; Metazoa; Chordata; Crocodylia; Crocodylidae.
AUACUUACCUGGCUAGGGAAAUACCGUGAUCACCAGGCCUCUAGUGGGUUAAGAGGUGGUUUUUCAGGGCGAGGCCUGUCCCUUGCAUCCUGGGCCUGUUGAUCCUUAUGAGUUUCCCCAAAUGCAGGGUAUUUGACUGCAGAAUUUUAUCGCAAUGUAGGACUGCUUUCUUGCUUUCCCCCU